RNAcentral lists this ribosomal RNA (468 nucleotides) under uncultured bacterium. Its description in RNAcentral is "partial 16S ribosomal RNA". It matches the Rfam family "Bacterial small subunit ribosomal RNA", at positions 28 to 507 of the family's 1533-position model. The record is from RNAcentral.
GAUGAACGCUGGCGGCGUGCUUAAUACAUGCAAGUCGAACGGACAGGCGCUGCUCUUGUGGGGUUCUCGAUAGGCGAACGGGUGAGUAACACGUGAGGAACCUGCACUUGACUGUGGGAUAUCUUCACGGAACUGGGGCUAAUACCGGAUAGAAUCUCCUGCUGCAUAGUGUGGGUUGGUAAGUGACGGCUGUGGUGGAUGGACGGGCGGGUUAUCCGCUUGAUGGUGGGGUAGUUGCUUACCAAGGCUUUGAAGGGUAGCCGGCCUGGGAGGGUGAACGGCCACAUUGGGACUGAGAUACGGCCCAGACUCCUACGGGCGGCAGCAGUGGGGAAUAUUGCACAAUGGGCGGAAGCCUGAUGCAGCAACGCCGCGUGCGGGAUGACGGCUUUCGAGUUGUAAACAGCUUUCGCCUGUGACGAAGCGUGCGUGACGGUAAUGGGUAAAGAAGCACCGGCUAACUACGUG